UUUCUGUGUUCACGUCAGGACCAGGAAGCAUUUCUUUGUGCCUAUGAGAGCGAAAGUGUGGUGUGUGCGCGAGGGCGCAGAGUUCCAACACCUCAUUCUACACAGCCCCGGUUAUAGCUUCAUUCUCCGUCGGCUCCUGCGUGUAAUGGAUGGAAAGGACAUGAGCAGCUUUCAUCUUCUGGUUCCCGUUUUGGCCGCACUACCAUGAGCAGUUGUAUUUCGUCUGCAUACACAGGCUUCUAUAGAAAUGGCCUCAGAAGACGCUGCCAUAGCGAUGCUGAACUACUACACCGCGACCACGCCCCAGCUCCGCAACCCGCCCGUCUUCGUCCAGUACUCAAACCACCGCGAGCUCAAGACCGACGGCCUGCCAGGCCAGGGAAGAGCAAGUGCAGCACUGCAGACAGCGAAUGCAGUGCAUUCUGGGAGUAUGAGUCUGUCUAGGUCGGCAUCGGCCAGCAAUGGCACGAUGAUGGGAGGCCAGAGCCCGGUGCUGCGUAUCAUUGUGGAGAACCUGUUCUACCCUGUCUCUCUGGAAGUGCUGCACCAGAUUUUCUCAAAGUUCGGGACAGUCCUGAAGAUCAUCACUUUCACCAAGAAUAACCAGUUCCAGGCAUUGCUACAGUACAGUGAUGCAGGGAAUGCACACCAUGCCAAACUGGCUUUGGACGGCCAGAAUAUCUACAACGCGUGCUGCACCCUGCGUGUGGAGUACUCCAAGCUGACCAGCCUUAACGUCAAAUACAACAACGACAAGAGCCGUGACUUCACCCGCAUGGACCUGCCGUCCGGGGACAGCCAGCCCACCCUGGACCACGCCAUGGCCGCUGCGUUUGGGGCCCAGGGGAUAAUCCCGUCACCGUACAGCGGAGCUGCGGCGUUCGGUCCCAUCAGCUUUCCCCACGCAGGUCUGUCCCUGCAGAUGAUGCCAGGCACUCUGGAAACCCUGAGCAUGCCCAGCUCAGCCAUGGCGGGCAGGAUGGCCAUCCACGGCAUGCCACACACUGCCAUGAACUCAGUGCUCCUCGUGUCCAACCUCAACCCCAGCAGCAUAUCGCCACAUGGACUCUUCAUCUUGUUUGGUGUCUAUGGGGAUGUGCACAGAGUGAAGAUCAUGUUUAAUAAGAAAGAAAAUGCCUUAAUACAGAUGGCUGAUGCCACCCAGGCGCAGCUGGCGAUGAGCCACCUGAACGGGCAGCGGCUGCAUGGGCGGGUGAUGAGGGUGACGGUCUCACGGCACCAGAGCGUGCAGCUGCCCCGGGAGGGCCAGGAGGACCAGGGCCUCACCAAGGACUACAGCGGCUCCCCCCUGCACCGCUUCAAAAAGCCCGGCUCCAAGAACUUCCAGAACAUCUUCCCCCCGUCCGCCACCCUGCACCUGUCCAACAUCCCUCCUUCUGUCACUGAUGAAAUCCUGCAGGAUCUGUUCACUGGCUGUGGGUAUUCAGUAAGGGCCUUCAAAUUCUUCCUGAAAGAUCGCAAGAUGGCGCUGAUCCAGCUGGGCUCCGUGGAGGAGGCCAUCCAGGCCUUGAUCGACCUCCACAACCACGACCUGGGAGAGAACCACCACCUCCGUGUGUCCUUCUCCAAAUCCACCAUCUAGCAGACUCCGCCCACCAAACAGACCCCGCCCACUAAACAGACUCCGCCCACCCGGCUGCCAUCUUCUCGCACUGAGGACCACAGAGAGAGAGAAGCAAUAGAGGAUUUAUGUUCACGAGUAAAAUAAUGAGAGCAAAACACUAAAGAAGGCGCAUGAGGGCUCCAUCAGACAGGCUGGGGGGGUCAGAGAUCCGUUUCUGAGGCAGACGAGGGAAUGUUCUAACCGCUGCACAGUGUCCCGUUUGAGCCUUCACAGUCCACAGUGAGCUCUGGCUCAGAGCCUCUGCUCAUUAUGUCUUUAUACGGACAAGCAAUUAACUCUGCAAUCGGACACAGAAGCCUUUUUUAAAAUCAGGAAAAUCUUGUAAAAUGCUAUCAGAUGCUGCAAGAAACAAAGUCAGGCUGUUUUUGGUAUGAGGGCAGGUAUAGGCACGUGGGAGCACCCACCCUGUACCCUAGGAUUCACGAUUCAGCCUUGCUGGAACCGUACAGAAGCUAAUGAACCCGUGGAAAGCCAUGUGUCCUUCUGUCCUGAAAAUGGAAUUAUGUGCCAGCUGUGCAGCCCAAAGAGGACCUUCAUCGCUGGAGCCCUCGAGAGCCUCACACAGGCAUGCAGGGGAAUCAUGAGGGGAUUUAUUUUUUAAAUAACGGUUGGAUGUGUGACAGGCACAGGUUCAGCAGGGUGACAGGCAUGGGGGGUUCAGAAGUCUCACUGUAGCGUGUGUUUGCUCCCUGCGAAGGCCAGGCGCACAAACAGACUGCAGACUCGCACAUCACACUGAUUUAGGAUUUCGCUUCUGGAUUUUUGGGGUUUUUUAAGUUAUAAAGGAUGUGUUUUUAUAUGUUAGGCCGAGGGUUUUUAUUUUAUUAAUUCUUUUUUGGGCAACGACAUUGGGUUAUCAAAGUCAGCAACUUGAUAUAAAAAAAGAAAAGACUGCCGUUAAUCGCUUCUGUACAUGAGCUUUAUACACAACACUGAGUUCCCUCCGCCAACUCCCAUAAGCACGCUCUCAGCACAGUGCAUCCAUUAACCAGAGAACUGAAUUCGGUUGUCUCUGGAAGCAGACAGUGACAUAACAGAAACUGUGAAUAAAGCCGGGAGGGUUAGGGUUAGAUAGAGGCCAUGUCACGGCCGUUCCAACAGCACCACGCUGUCACUGCGCUGUCACUGCGCUGUCACUGCGCUGUCUCUGCGCUGUGUCUGUGCUGUCACUGCGCUGUCACUGCGCUGUGUCUGUGCUGUCACUGCGUUGUCACUGCGCUGUCACUGCGCUGUCUCUGCGCUGUCACUGCGCUGUCACUGCGCUGUGUCUGUGCUGUCACUGCGCUGUCACUGUGCUGUCUCUGCGCUGUCUCUGCGCUGUCACUGUGCUGUCACUGCGCUGUCACCAGGGUGUGUGGCCAGCGGGACCCAUGUGCUCCCAGGUGAACUCAGGGGCGUGAGAUAUGACAGAUCAGAAGAGCGCUCCAGUCAGUUAUGAGUCUCUGUCUGGGUUAAAUCUCCAGGGUUUACUUUCUGCUUUCUUCCCCUUCAUUUUCCUCUCAAGACAACAAGCAGAGACGUCAACAGCCUACUUGAGGAUAUCUUUAGCCGACUAUAUUUUUUUCCUCUGUUACUCUUGAAAUUAACCCCCCCCCUUGCCCCCCGGGGGAGAUGAAACUCUUUCCUUAGCCUUGUGCUCUCACAGGACACACACCUGCCUUUGAUCUCUCUGAGAACUGCACACACACCUGAGACUCGGACUCUGAGGCAUACGCAUGGCCCAUGCUGCCAGGACUGUGGUGUGUGUGUGUGUGUGCGUGUGUGUGUUCCCGCUCUUCAGCGCCAUUCAGAUACAACAGGCCACGCCCCCUCCGUGUGACCGCUGCACGGCUCGAGGCCCGCCUUAACAUUCCGAGAGGGGUUGCCAUGGAAACCCGCGAGUGGCGUGACGGGGGGCGUGUCCCCUCUGUGUCAGCGAGCAGUCUGGAGACUUCAUAGAAAGAGCAAGCACUUCUUAAAUAUUAAAAAGAGAUGUUUACAGUCUUAAAUACAACGGUAAUAUUCAGGUUUAUAUAUUUAAAGGACUGUUGCAUUUGUAAAGAAGUUACUUAUUUUUGUUUGGAAUGCCCAGUGACCAUAAGCCCAUCAGCUAUACGCGACCUCCACAGAUUCAGGUGGACCGCAUUACAGUUUACAAUGUAGGUAUCCAGGGAAACUUCCAUAGCUUAUAUUUGCCAUACAGUCUAUUUAUAUACUGUUUCAUUCUAUUAAUGUCUAUGUGUAUUUACACACGCCCAUAGACUGCCACACACAGCCUUCUCUGCAACCUGCCUGCAGACCUGCUAGCAUGACUAGAUAUUCGAUGAACGUUCCUUGAUCAUUUUUAAGUGGCAAAUGUUGUAUAGUCUAGCACUGGCACAGCAAAACUGUUACUUAAUGUACAUAAACAUACACUGUAGAACAAUAAUAUUAAUGAACGUUCAUAAUGUGUCUUAAUGUAUUUAUUAAAGGUAAAUAAUGUUUAACUUUAUGAAGGUUUCACAGAAAUCUGAGUGGUGCUGAGGGAUGGAUGUAUGGCUAGGCUGUAACCCGUAUCCCAGAACAGUAUCUUUUGGAAAUGUGAAGAGUUCCUUGUUUCUUUCCAAAAGGAUUUCUGCAAUAGCAGGUUGCAAAAGCGUUGGUCUUGGAUUGCGCUGUCCCUCCAUUGCCUCAAUCCAUCUGUUACAGGCCUGCUCCCUGCUUGCACAUUUUAUUCCCAUGGGAUUAGCUGCUGGGCUUCAUCCAACAGGUUUUUCUACACAUUGUAUGGAAGAUGGCUGAGAAGCUUUAAAUUCCAGAGAAUUAAAUCCUAGAGAACUUUAAGUUGCAGUUGUAUUUAUACUUACCUGCAGUUGUAGUCCAUUUCCUGUGGUCUGACUAAAGCCUGGGUUAAUAUUUCAUCAUAUUAUAAAUUCUGGGUUUUCAGGGGUUAUAUGGUAAUGACAUACAGUCCUUUGGUAGUUCAGAACUGUGAAUGGGAUUUUGUGAGUUUAUAUAGUUAACCAUUGACUGGACUGUAUCCAUCUAAACUACACUAACACUUGAAACAUUGGAUUUGUUUUGUUUUUUAUUCCCAGUGUUGAGAGUGAACAGACAAUAACAGAAUUUAUUAUUUGUACAGCGCCCUACAAAAUGGAAAGCACUGGAACAGCGGUAGGCCUGACUGGUGGAGGAUGAGAGUGGGUCUGGCCCACACACACAGAUGGUUUGGGGAGGGGAAAGUCCACGAGGCACAGUGGGAGAUUUGUCAAAAUUUGGUUGCAUCUUCGAUACACAAUGUCUCAGAAUCUACAUCAGAUUCCGCCUUUGUGCCGAUUGGCUUCCUGGAAGGGUUGCCAAAACAAGCAACAAAAAUGAACAUCUGGGGUUUCCUAAACAGCACGGGAACCUUUGGAGUCACUCCUAUAAAGUAUCAUUUCAUUAGCAAUUUGCAGCUCUCCCAUUUUGGACAGGUCAACAGGAAGUGCUUUUCAGCGACCCUGUCCUAAAUCACUAAACCUUGUGUGCUUUUGCAAUAUGGUACUUUUACAAAAAAAUAAACGAUGUUCUGCAUUCUGUUCACUUAUCCUUGCUUUCUAUAUUCUCUCUCUAAUUUUCAAUAGCCGUGCUGAGCUUGUGUCUCGUAAAUGUUUUUAGGCUGUAAAUAUUUAUGAGGACACAGUGGGACAGCAGUUACCCAUAAGUAAGCUCCUUUGCAUUAGUUAUCCCACAGGCUUAACAUCUCGUCACUUCUAUUAUUUUUCAACUAGUCAGACCUCACCUCCUUUCAAUGUCUGUGUACAUGACAUUUCUGUUGCGUUUUCACCACCAGAUUAUUAACGGCUGGCGAUACGGUGGAGGCAAUGCUUUGAGCAUUUCACUUCAUUUCAGAAGAUACUCUUACUGCUGGGGUUAAGGGCACAGGACAAAAGCACACGUGCCUUUUAUUAACCAUAUUUAUAACUGGAUCUGCUUCAUGUUAUGUCAAGUCUGUAUAGAUGUCCCAUAGGUUGUGAGAUCACAAUGUUGUUAUUAUGACAAAUUCAAAUAUUAGUUUAUAGACAUUGUAAGUAAUAUAAAAAUAAAAUACUAUAGCUGUUAGUGUAACCAAACCGGAUUAACACUUAAAAUCAAUUUAAAGUCAUAUAUAUGGUUUUACAUGACAUUGUUAAAAUUUGAAAACAGGUAAAUUCGUGGUUGCUUAAUUUUUACAAAUCGCUGAAGCUUGGUGUUUUUGUUCUGUAAAUACAAAAGUAAACAUGAACAGUGCCCCUCUUCCCUCCGAAAAAGUUUUGGAUAUUAUGUUAAGUACGGCCAGCAGUAAUUGAAUUUUACUGCACAAAUAUAAACCGUAAUGUUUUGAUGCAGUAGAAGUUCCAAAUUUCUUUUUAAGUGUUUUUUAUGACCUUAACAAAGAGAAGGGGAGAAACAAGAUGAGUUUGUGUCGUGUGUUUAUGCUCUAAAAUGUAUAAAUGUUUGAAGAGAAAGUAUUAACCCUAUUAACCCGUGAUUGCACGUUUGAAUUGUCUGCAUGGUUCCGAGGAAUUUCUGCAUUUGGUUUUAAUUAAAAUUAUAAUUACUCGUUAUUAUGCUCUAACUGUCCACAUACUUUUUUUUCCAAUAUUUAACUGUUGCAUGCCUUGAAUAAAUGUCAUGAUAUGCAAGCUUUCCUCAG
Molecule: RNA transcript, 6278 nt
Organism: Anguilla rostrata (American eel)
Lineage: Eukaryota; Metazoa; Chordata; Actinopteri; Anguilliformes; Anguillidae
Gene name: polypyrimidine tract-binding protein 3-like
Exons: 14
Source: RefSeq, a predicted model, not a curated record